UAUGGGUGCUAAGGUCCAUAGCCAAGAGGGAAACAACCCAGACCACCUGCUAAGGUCCCCAAGCAAUACUCAGUCACUAAGGAAGUGAAGUUGCAAUGACAGCCAGGAUGUUGGCUUAGAAGCAGCCACCAUUUAAAAAGUGCGUAACAGCUUACUGGUCGAGCAAUUUUGCGCCGAUAAUGAACGGGAGUAAGUUCUGCACCGAAGCAGUGGAACACGCUUGCGUGUUGGUAGGAGAGCGCUGUACGUCAGAUACAAGUCGCACCGCAAGGAGCGAUGUCGGGGCGUACAGGUGAUUAUGCCGGAAUGAGUAACGAUAAAGCAGGUGAGAAUCCUGCUCGCCGAAAGCCUAAGGUUUCCUGGGGAAGGUAAAUCCGCCCAGGGUUAGCCGGUACCUUAGUCGAGGC
This 407-nucleotide ribosomal RNA is filed under the name Alexandrium tamarense. RNAcentral's name for it is "partial Bacterial large subunit ribosomal RNA". It matches the Rfam family "Bacterial large subunit ribosomal RNA", at positions 990 to 1402 of the family's 2925-position model. The record is from RNAcentral. Lineage: Eukaryota; Dinophyceae; Gonyaulacales; Pyrocystaceae.